GGAUGCGAUCAUAUCAGCACUAAAGCACUGGAUCCCAUUAGAACUCCGAAGUUAAGCGUGCUUGGGCGAGAGUAGUACUAGAAUGGGUGACCUCUUGGGACGUCCUCGUGUUGCAUUCC
Non-coding RNA from Zea mays, 119 nucleotides. The record is from Rfam. NCBI's taxonomy places the organism in Eukaryota, Viridiplantae, Streptophyta, Magnoliopsida, Poales, Poaceae.